AUGACAAAUGGAAAAAAACUCUGAAAAUGUCUGCCGAAGGCUCAAGUUCAAUCCAGUAUAUAAAGUGACUUUAAUAGUGAAUAAACUAACAACCAGCCAUUGUAUUUAUUAUUAUUAUUUAUUACUGCAUGUAUUUGUAGUAAAACAUGAGUUGAAACAUCCUACUUUUGGAUCUAGAACUGCACAAGCCGUUCAUUUUCAGUCACCUGACGAGUUAAACUCCCCUUUUUAUGUGAGGUUGAAGCAGAAAGUCUGAGUUAACAAAGAAAGUUGUUUAUAAUUUGCGAUACCUGUUAUCUCUGACUGAGGCUUUAGUUUUUGUUGAGCUGAUUUACAUGUAGAAACUUUGUUCAGGAAGAUUUCUCAGUAGCUCAGAGGACAGGCUGCUUUUUUACACAACCUUGUAAGAGAAUAUCUGUCAAUGCUUUCAGCAGAAUUUAGAAACAACACUUCCUAAACAGAUAUUUUGAGGCUGUGAGGUUGAACGUUUGAGAGUAUAUCAGUGUGUGUGUUUGUGGUCUUUCUGUUUCUAGGUGGAAGCUGAAUUAGUGAGGAUGACUCCUGCUCCUGUCAUCUCUAAGCUCCUCACACAUCUUUACCUGCACAUGAGAAAAAUCACUCCUGUAGAAUGCAGAUGUUCAGAGGGAGAUGAUGCCACAUCUGGUCCAGCCGAUGGAAGGUCUUGAAGUUCUCUGACUGGCCUGGACUGAAGAUGGUCGUCUCACUGGAUUUAAGGAACUUCUGCAGAGUCCUGGUUCCAGAACAUGAUGAUGGAAUUAUAGACAAACUUUAACAAAAGCUGCCUGAGAGUUUACAGGUUUUUAUGUUAGAUUUCUUCAGUAAUUUAAUGAGCGUUAUCAGCAAAAAUCAAGUGUUCUUUUGACGAACUUCAUUUCCUAAAGCAUCCAGAAUUGGAGCUCAUAUCUUUGGCAGCUGUAAAGUUUCUGCUCCUUCAAAGUUCGCAACACAAUGAAUGAAUUCCUAAAACACUCUCAAUGCUGGAGAGCAUGUGAUGCUGAAGCAGUGAUCAGUUUUUCUGUUUCUUCUCUGGAGAUGCACAAUGAGGGACGUCUGCAGAGACUGAGAAAGAGUCUCACCACAUCCUGACAUGAGGAAAAAGACUUUAUUGAAGACUACAAUGAGAAAAACUAUCCAGACAGCAGACGGCUGCAUUCAAGGUGAGCUCUGAACAUUUGAUCUGGAACAGGAAUUCAAUAACGGCAGCAUGAGCUUCAUUUCAGUCUGUAGCUGCUGAAUUCAUGGAUGAAUCAUCUGGCACUAGAGAGGAAGACCAUCAAACAUCCAUGUCAGCUGAUGGAGGUCCAAGAGUCUCACCAAACAAACAACCUACAGAGUGAAGACCUCUAAUCUGAUUGGACGGCCUCCUAUUCAGCCACGUGUGAACAAAUGCCUCUAAGUUGAUUUGUUUUCUAAAAUAAAUCUAGUUUGAGUCCUAAUCUAUGCCUGUGUGUUUGCUUCUUUACAUCGCUGUUAACAGUUUAGGCUGUUAGAUUGUUCCAGAUAAGACAAGUACAAGAUUCUUCAGAGCCGUUCUACCACGAGCCUGACAGGAAGAACUCCAACAGCUACUGAAUGUUCCUGUGGUCCCCUCAAGGCUACAUGAGGAGCCCUACGAGGACGAGCCGGUCCACCUGAUGGCAGCCAGUCGCUGUGGUUCAAAGCCAACACCGACUACGUGGACUUCUACUGGACCACACGGAGG
Molecule: long non-coding RNA, 1723 nt
Organism: Amphiprion ocellaris (clown anemonefish)
Lineage: Eukaryota; Metazoa; Chordata; Actinopteri; Pomacentridae
Exons: 3
Source: RefSeq, a predicted model, not a curated record